Molecule: transfer RNA, 74 nt
Filed under: Candidatus Omnitrophota bacterium
Lineage: Bacteria; Pseudomonadati; Candidatus Omnitrophota
Description: tRNA-Asp
Rfam family: tRNA
About the family: Transfer RNA (tRNA) molecules are approximately 80 nucleotides in length. Their secondary structure includes four short double-helical elements and three loops (D, anti-codon, and T loops).
Source: RNAcentral
GGGGGCGUAGCUCAAUUGGUUAGAGUGGCGGCCUGUCGAGCCGUAGGUUGCGGGUUCGAAUCCCGUCGCCCCCG